GAUGAACGCUGGCGGCGUGUCUUAGCCAUGCAAGUCGAGCGGACUUAUGGGGUAACUUAUAAGUCAGCGGCGGACGGCGGAGUAACACGUAGCUAACCUACCCUCUGGACGGGGGAUAACCUACCGAAAGGUGGGCUAAUACCCGAUGUAGUCAUCCUGUAUAGGGGUGAUGAAGGUGGGCUUCUGUUUACAAGCUCAUGCUGGAGGAGGGGGCUGCGGCCUAUCAGGUAGUUGGUAGGGUAAUAGCCUACCAAGCCGAUGACGGGUAGCCGGCCUGAGAGGGUGACCGGCCCGAGGGGCAACUGAGAUACGGGUCCCGACUCCUACGGGAGGCAGCAGGCUAGAAAUUUGGGCAAUGGGGGAAACCCUGACCCAGUGACGCCGCGUGCAGGAAGGAGCCCUUCGGGGUGUAAACUCCUGGACUGGGGACGAGGAAGGACGGUACCCCAGUAGAAAGGGACGGCUAACUACGUGCCAGCAGCCGCGGUAAGAUAGCGUUCU
RNAcentral lists this ribosomal RNA (501 nucleotides) under uncultured bacterium. RNAcentral describes it as "bacterial SSU rRNA". It matches the Rfam family "Bacterial small subunit ribosomal RNA", at positions 28 to 535 of the family's 1533-position model. The record is from RNAcentral.